RNAcentral lists this long non-coding RNA (525 nucleotides) under Struthio camelus australis. RNAcentral's name for it is "lncRNA (ENSSCUG00000015567.1)". Lineage: Eukaryota; Metazoa; Chordata; Aves; Struthioniformes; Struthionidae. The record is from RNAcentral.
CACGAGAUUAACAGCAGCACUUCCUCCUCCUUGCCUCCUCCUCCAUCUCACAGCUCUUUUGAUGCAUUGAGUGACAUCGUACCCCAAAAGCAGCGGCAAGGAUCAAGCGAGAGGGGCACCGAAUGGGGCCAAGUAUGCCAAAAUCCUGCUGACUGCUGCCACUGCCAUUCUUGAAGGGUAUGGUGGCAGGUUGCUGAUAUGUUUAGCCAGGGUCCUUUGGUCAGUAAGGCGCUUGUCUUCCCCUAAGGAUGCAUUCCUGUCAACAAGGUGGCUCAUUGGCAUUCUGCUGUGAAGAUGGAAGAAAUCUGCCUGUAGCAACACAGCAAUGGCAAGGUCAAAGGCUCAUUGUGGUAUCUUUGGCUGAGAGAGACCCUCUAUGCUUUCCUGCUUAAUUUCUGUGUGCCUGCAGACUAGUCACCUGGUCUCUGCUCCCCAUGCGACAAGUGAGGAGGAUAAUUCUCUCUACCCCAACAGGUGAGUCAUGAAGAUCAUAGUAUGAGACACUUAGUGAUAUGUACUGUGCAA